AGGGAAUCUUCGGCAAUGGGGGCAACCCUGACCGAGCAACGCCGCGUGAGUGAAGAAGGUUUUCGGAUCGUAAAGCUCUGUUGUAAGUCAAGAACGAGUGUGAGAGUGGAAAGUUCACACUGUGACGGUAGCUUACCAGAAAGGGACGGCUAACUACGUGCCAGCAGCCGCGGUAAUACGUAGGUCCCGAGCGUUGUCCGGAUUUAUUGGGCGUAAAGCGAGCGCAGGCGGUUUGAUAAGUCUGAAGUUAAAGGCUGUGGCUCAACCAUAGUUCGCUUUGGAAACUGUCAAACUUGAGUGCAGAAGGGGAGAGUGGAAUUCCAUGUGUAGCGGUGAAAUGCGUAGAUAUAUGGAGGAACACCGGUGGCGAAAGCGGCUCUCUGGUCUGUAACUGACGCUGAGGCUCGAAAGCGUGGGGAGCGAAC
Molecule: ribosomal RNA, 425 nt
Filed under: uncultured bacterium
Lineage: Bacteria
Description: bacterial SSU rRNA
Rfam family: Bacterial small subunit ribosomal RNA
Source: RNAcentral